Molecule: ribosomal RNA, 401 nt
Filed under: Corynebacterium mastitidis
Lineage: Bacteria; Bacillati; Actinomycetota; Actinomycetes; Mycobacteriales; Corynebacteriaceae
Description: bacterial SSU rRNA
Rfam family: Bacterial small subunit ribosomal RNA
Source: RNAcentral
ACUUACCUGGGCUUGACAUACACCAGAUCGGCGCAGAGAUGCGUUUUCCCUUUGUGGUUGGUGUACAGGUGGUGCAUGGUUGUCGUCAGCUCGUGUCGUGAGAUGUUGGGUUAAGUCCCGCAACGAGCGCAACCCUUGUCUUAUGUUGCCAGCACGUGGUGGUGGGGACUCAUGAGAGACUGCCGGGGUUAACUCGGAGGAAGGUGGGGAUGACGUCAAAUCAUCAUGCCCCUUAUGUCCAGGGCUUCACACAUGCUACAAUGGUCGGUACAGUAGGUUGCGAUACCGUGAGGUGGAGCUAAUCCUUGUAAAGUCGGCCUUAGUUCGGAUUGGGGUCUGCAACUCGACCCCAUGAAGUCGGAGUCGCUAGUAAUCGCAGAUCAGCAACGCUGCGGUGAAUA